Equus caballus (horse) is the source of this 1342-nucleotide non-coding RNA. Lineage: Eukaryota; Metazoa; Chordata; Mammalia; Perissodactyla; Equidae. The record is from RefSeq and is a predicted model, not a curated record.
AGUGGAAUGUUUAAUACUCCACAGAAAAAAAAAAAAAGAACCAUGGAAUUCUGAGUCCCACCUGUUAAAUUAUUUGUCCUUCUAAUAGAAGCAGGAAUGAAAGGCGUAUGUUCAACAUCAUUUUGGACCCAUUUUCUGUGGCGGGAAACCAAGGUCCUGCACUAGGCAUUGCAGAUAUGAAGAUGAACUGGAUACAGAGCCCGAUUUCAGGGAGUCACAAGAGUGUGUGCUUAGUGCUGUGAGAGAGAACUUCCCCCUAGACAAAGGACAUCUAGACCAGCCUGGAGGGAGCAGACCCUGUUAAUAUCUCUGAGCUCAUUGCUUUUCUGGAAGAACAUGUUCCGAGUUCCAAUUUGGGAUGAUUCAAAACCUACGUCUGCCCCAGGCUUGAGGUGGGCCUUCAUUGGAAACACCUUCUGCUCCGCCAGCUCAGUUCUCAUGAAAACAAACAAUGGUGCCCUUUGCCCAAGUCGGAAGAGGAGGCUGUGAAAUCGCCAUGAGCUUCCCGUGCAGGCCACAGCUUCAAUCAGGUCCUUCUGCUGGGGCGCCUGGGAUGGGUCACACCCUUUGCCUCCUCUCUCUGGAUGGCAUUUCUAAGUCACACCAGGGGCUCUGGGCAUUGAGGCUUGGGAUACCCAUCUCCUGAGCCCUUCUUCCUGGGAAGAUGCCAGGGGCCAAAGCCAGGUGGACGCCAGCUCAGCCUCUACACUCUCAGUCCCAACUGGGUGUGAUCACUGCAGAGCUCCUCUGGGGUGGAGGUGCUAGACGCUGCCUACAUUUCUUGGUUUGUGGCCCCAUGUCACUCCACCAUCUGCCGCCGUCAUCACAUCUCCUUCUAUGACUCUGGCCCUCUGCCUGUCUCCCACUUACAAGGACCCUUGUGAUUGCGUUGGGCCCACCCAGAUAAUCUGAGGUAAUUUUUCCAUCUUAACAUCCUUGACUUAACGAUAUCUGUGAAGUGAAGUCCCGUUCGCUAUUUUAGAGACAUUAUUCUGCCGACCACAUGAUUGAUAUUUGAAACGUUGAUAUAGUAUUAGUUGCACAUGUCUGUAAGUCUGUUCUGCUAUGUGUUUCUUUCAGUAGGAAAAAUGGUAUCAGUAUAAUGGUGAUUUUUAACUCACCAUUUUAAGAUUUUAAAAUGAGGAGGGGCAAGCUUGUUCUCAAGUGUAGAGGAAGCCUUUGCUAUAUAUGAAGACCUUAAGAAAAGAGCUGAAAAUCCUGCAUAAGGCUUCACUUUAGAGUAAGAAGUGACUCAUAUGAUGGCUUUAAGUACUAGAACACUUUCUUGUUCUAAGUUCUUUGAGGGAAAUUGCAAGUGCAAAUAAAGAAGCCGUGAAUACCU